UUGGAGGGCAAGUCUGGUGCCAGCAGCCGCGGUAAUUCCAGCUCCAAUAGCGUACAUUAAAGUUGUUGCAGUUAAAAAGCUCGUAGUUGAAUUUCGGGGUCAGUAGGCUGGUCGUGCCUCAGGUACGUACUGGUCUUACUGAUUCCUCCUUCCUGACGAACCGUAAUGCCAUUAAUUUGGUGUUGCGGGGAAUCUGGACUGUUACUUUGAAAAAAUUAGAGUGUUUAAAGCAGGCUAACGCUUGAAUACAUUAGCAUGGAAUAAUGAAAUAGGACGAUCGAUCCUAUUUUGUUGGUUUCUAGGAUUGACGUAAUGAUUAAUAGGGAUAGUUGGGGGCAUUAGUAUUCAAUUGUCAGAGGUGAAAUUCUUGGAUUUAUUGAAGACUAACUACUGCGAAAGCAUUUGCCAAGGAUGUUUUCAUUAAUCAAGAACGAAAGUUAGGGGAUCGAAGACGAUCAGAUACCGUCGUAGUCUUAACCAUAAACUAUGCCGACUAGGGAUCGGAUGAUGUUAAUUUUUUAAUGACUCAUUCGGCGCCUUACGGGAAA
RNAcentral lists this ribosomal RNA (548 nucleotides) under uncultured Glomeromycotina. RNAcentral describes it as "SSU rRNA". It matches the Rfam family "Eukaryotic small subunit ribosomal RNA", at positions 548 to 1097 of the family's 1831-position model. The record is from RNAcentral. Lineage: Eukaryota; Fungi; Glomeromycota.